AGGACAUGCAGCAGGCGGCGAGAUCGGUUUCAGUAGUUGUGAUUGUAAACAUAGCGCAGAGCUGGAGACAGACAGAAGAGUUUGGCAGCGGAGUCGGGCCGGUGGCAGCAAGCCAGAGAAAUGAAUGAGUAACAGCGGAUCACAAAGUCUCCCAGGAUGCCGUUGGUCGCGAUCUUGGCCUGUUGCACGAUGUUGGGGCUGAAGGCGGCGCUGCAGAAGCUCCUCGUAGGUGAGCAGGAAGACGGCCCGGUUCCUACCCGGUAUACUGGCCGCCAUCCUGAACACCUCCACUUCUGGCUCGGGACUGGAGAGGAGAGAGGAGGUGGUCCACAAUCUGCAGGCUCUCGUUGCUGCUCAGGUGACCUGUAAGAGUCUUACAUGGUGAAGUUGGAGACGUAAGCUCCGGCGGGGAUCUGAAACUGGAAGACGCCCUCGGUAGCG
This is a long non-coding RNA of Toxotes jaculatrix (banded archerfish), 441 nucleotides long. RefSeq lists it as uncharacterized. The transcript has 4 exons. The record is from RefSeq and is a predicted model, not a curated record. NCBI's taxonomy places the organism in Eukaryota, Metazoa, Chordata, Actinopteri, Toxotidae.